UACGUAGGAGGCAAGCGUCGUCCGGAUUUACUGGGCGUAAAGAGCGUGUAGGCGGUUCGUUAAGUCCGCUGUGAAAUCUCCAGGCUCAACCUGGAUAGGUCGGUGGAAACUAGCGAACUUGAGGACGGUAGAGGGGGGUGGAAUUCCCGGUGUAGUGGUGAAAUGCGUAGAGAUCGGGAGGAACACCAGCGGCGAAGGCGGCCCCCUGGGCCGCUCCUGACGCUGAGACGCGAAGGCCAGGGUAGCGAACGGG
Molecule: ribosomal RNA, 253 nt
Filed under: uncultured bacterium
Lineage: Bacteria
Description: partial 16S ribosomal RNA
Rfam family: Bacterial small subunit ribosomal RNA
Source: RNAcentral